RNAcentral lists this ribosomal RNA (253 nucleotides) under uncultured bacterium. RNAcentral's name for it is "partial 16S ribosomal RNA". It matches the Rfam family "Bacterial small subunit ribosomal RNA", at positions 524 to 776 of the family's 1533-position model. The record is from RNAcentral.
UACGGAGGGUGCAAGCGUUAUCCGGAAUCAUUGGGUUUAAAGGGUCCGCAGGCGGACAAGCAAGUCAGUGGUGAAAUCCCAUCGCUUAACGAUGGAACUGCCAUUGAAACUGUUUGUCUUGAAUUCGAUCGAAGUGGGCGGAAUGUGUCAUGUAGCGGUGAAAUGCAUAGAUAUGACACAGAACACCGAUAGCGAAGGCAGCUCACUAGGUCUGAAUUGACGCUCAGGGACGAAAGCGUGGGGAGCGAACAGG